AAGGAGCUGCCUCACGGCCAAGCCAUGACUACGGUAGCAGUACAUGUGGACUCUAAAGCUGAGCUCACCACCCUGCUGGAGCAGUGGGAGAAGGAACAUGGCAGUGGGCAGGACAUGGUACCUAUUCUUACCAGGAUGUCUGAAUUGAUUGAAAAAGAAACUGAAGAAUAUCGUAAGGGGGAUCCAGACCCAUUUGAUGAUCGACAUCCUGGUCGAGCUGAUCCAGAGUGUAUGCUGGGCCAUCUGCUGAGAAUACUCUUCAAGAAUGAUGAUUUCAUGAAUGCACUGGUGAAUGCAUAUGUGAUGACAAGCCGAGAGCCCCCUUUAAAUACUGCAGCUUGCAGACUUCUACUGGAUAUCAUGCCAGGGCUGGAAACUGCUGUUGUUUUUCAAGAAAAGGAAGGAAUUGUCGAAAAUCUUUUCAAAUGGGCCCGAGAGGCUGAUCAGCCAUUGAGGACGUAUUCUACUGGACUAUUAGGAGGUGCUAUGGAAAAUCAGGACAUUGCUGCCAACUAUAGGGAUGAAAAUUCACAGCUGGUAGCAAUUGUGCUUCGAAGACUUCGGGAGCUACAGCUUCAGGAAAUGGCUUUGCGGCAAGAAAGCAAGCGUCCCAGCCCCCGAAAGCUCUCCUCUGAACCCCUGUUGCCUCUGGAUGAAGAAGCGGUGGAUAUGGACUAUGGCGACAUGGCUGUAGAUGUAGUGGAUGGUGAACAAGAGGAAGCCUCUGGAGACAUGGAGAUCUCCUUUCACCUUGAUUCAGGCCACAAGACCAGUAGCAGAAUGAACUCAGCAACAAAACCUGAGGAAGGAGGAUUGAGGAAAAACAAGUCAGCGAAACAGGGUGACAGAGAGAGCUUUAGGAAAGCCAAGCAGAAGUUGGGUUUCUCAUCAUCAGAACCGGAUCGGAUGUUCGUUGAGCUGUCCAAUAGCAGUUGGUCAGAAAUGUCCCCCUGGGUGAUUGGCACCAAUUAUACCCUUUGUCCUAUGACUCCUGCCAUUGAACAGCGGCUUAUUCUCCAGUAUUUAACUCCUCUGGGAGAAUACCAGGAGUUACUCCCCAUAUUCAUGCAGCUUGGGUCCCGGGAGCUGAUGAUGUUCUAUAUCGACCUGAAGCAGACUAACGACGUUCUACUCACGUUUGAGGCGCUCAAGCACCUAGCAUCUCUCCUGCUCCAUAACAAGUUUGCCACAGAAUUUGUUGCACAUGGUGGAGUACAGAAAUUACUGGAAAUUCCUCGUCCCUCUAUGGCUGCAACUGGUGUAUCCAUGUGCUUGUAUUACCUGUCCUACAACCAGGAUGCCAUGGAAAGAGUUUGCAUGCAUCCCCACAAUGUCCUGUCUGAUGUGGUGAACUAUACCCUGUGGUUAAUGGAAUGUUCUCAUGCCUCAGGAUGCUGCCAUGCUACCAUGUUUUUCUCCAUCUGUUUCUCCUUCCGGGCCGUGUUGGAGCUCUUUGACCGCUAUGAUGGUCUUCGCCGACUGGUGAACUUGAUCAGUACUUUGGAGAUUCUGAAUUUGGAAGAUCAGGGUGCACUUCUGAGUGAUGAUGAAAUAUUUGCUAGCCGCCAAACUGGGAAACAUACUUGCAUGGCCUUGCGCAAGUACUUUGAGGCUCACCUGGCCAUUAAAUUGGAACAAGUGAAGCAGUCACUUCAGAGGACUGAGGGAGGCAUUCUUGUGCAUCCUCAGCCCCCGUACAAGGCAUGUUCGUAUACUCAUGAACAGAUUGUGGAAAUGAUGGAGUUUUUGAUAGAAUAUGGCCCAGCGCAGCUCUACUGGGAACCCGCUGAAGUCUUCCUCAAACUUUCUUGUGUUCAGCUCUUGUUGCAGCUUAUCUCUAUUGCCUGCAAUUGGAAGACCUAUUAUGCCAGGAAUGACACUGUGCGCUUUGCUUUGGAUGUCCUGGCUAUUCUUACUGUUGUGCCCAAAAUCCAGCUCCAAUUGGCAGAGUCAGUGGAUGUGCUAGAUGAGGCUGGCUCCACCGUCUCCACUGUAGGUAUCAGCAUUAUUUUGGGAGUGGCUGAGGGUGAGUUCUUUAUCCAUGAUGCUGAGAUUCAGAAGUCAGCACUUCAAAUUAUCAUCAACUGUGUGUGUGGCCCGGAUAACCGAAUUUCCAGUAUUGGUAAAUUUAUCUCUGGAACUCCUCGGAGGAAGCUGCCUCAGACUCCCAAAAGUAGCGAGCACACCCUGGCCAAGAUGUGGAAUGUGGUCCAGUCCAACAAUGGCAUCAAGGUGCUUUUGUCCUUACUGUCCAUCAAGAUGCCCAUCACAGAUGCAGACCAGAUCCGGGCCCUGGCCUGCAAGGCCCUGGUGGGCCUGUCUCGAAGUAGCACUGUCCGGCAGAUCAUCAGCAAGCUGCCCCUUUUCAGCAGCUGCCAGAUCCAGCAGCUGAUGAAGGAACCUGUGCUGCAGGACAAGCGCAGCGACCACGUCAAGUUCUGCAAGUAUGCCGCCGAGCUCAUCGAGCGGGUGUCAGGGAAGCCCCUUCUCAUUGGCACCGAUGUGUCCCUGGCACGACUGCAGAAGGCAGAUGUUGUUGCCCAGUCAAGGAUCUCCUUCCCUGAGAAAGAGCUGCUUCUGUUGAUACGAAACCAUCUCAUUUCUAAAGGACUUGGGGAGACAGCCACUGUGCUGACAAAAGAGGCUGACCUGCCCAUGACUGCUGCCUCCCACUCUUCUGCCUUUACCCCAGUCGCUGCUGCUGCUUCUCCUGUCUCUCUCCCCCGAACCCCUCGCAUCGCCAACGGCAUUGCAACUCGACUAGGCAGCCAUGUGGCUGUGGGUGCCACUGCUCCUCCUGCCCCCACUGCCCAUCCUCAGCCACGGCCCCCCCAGGGCUCACUAGCUCUGCCCGGCCCGUCUUACGCGGGCAACUCCCCUGUGAUUGGUAGGAUCAGUUUUAUCAGAGAGAGACCAUCACCCUGCAAUGGCAGGAAAAUCAGAGUGUUGCGGCAAAAGUCGGACCAUGGCGCCUACAGCCAAAGCCCAGCCAUAAAAAAGCAGUUGGACAGGCAUCUUCCUUCCCCACCGACGCUGGACAGUAUCAUCACAGAGUACCUGAGAGAGCAGCAUGCGCGCUGCAAGAACCCCGUUGCCACCUGCCCACCUUUCUCCCUCUUUACUCCUCACCAGUGUCCUGAGCCAAAACAGAGGCGGCAGGCGCCCAUCAACUUUACCUCCAGACUGAACCGCAGAGCGUCGUUUCCAAAGUAUGGCGGGGUGGAUGGCGGGUGCUUCGAUAGGCACCUUAUCUUUAGCAGGUUCCGUCCUAUCUCAGUGUUCCGGGAAGCCAAUGAGGAUGAGAGUGGCUUCACCUGCUGUGCAUUCUCAGCCCGGGAGCGGUUCCUGAUGCUUGGCACCUGCACUGGGCAGUUGAAGCUCUACAAUGUGUUUAGUGGACAGGAGGAGGCCAGCUAUAACUGUCACAACUCGGCCAUCACACACCUUGAACCUUCCAGGGACGGGUCCUUGCUGCUGACAUCUGCUACUUGGAGCCAGCCUCUGUCUGCACUUUGGGGAAUGAAAUCGGUGUUUGAUAUGAAGCAUUCCUUCACAGAAGAUCACUAUGUGGAGUUCAGUAAGCACUCUCAGGACCGGGUCAUCGGCACGAAAGGAGACAUUGCCCACAUUUAUGAUAUUCAGACUGGCAACAAGCUGUUGACUCUGUUUAACCCAGAUCUUGCCAACAACUACAAGAGGAACUGUGCCACCUUUAAUCCUACAGAUGAUCUGGUCUUAAAUGAUGGCGUCCUCUGGGAUGUCCGCUCUGCGCAGGCCAUCCACAAGUUCGACAAGUUCAACAUGAACAUCAGUGGUGUUUUCCAUCCGAAUGGGCUGGAGGUCAUCAUUAAUACUGAGAUUUGGGACCUUCGCACUUUCCAUCUUUUACAUACAGUCCCUGCUCUGGAUCAGUGCCGAGUGGUGUUCAACCACACAGGGACAGUGAUGUAUGGAGCUAUGUUGCAGGCAGAUGAUGAAGAUGACUUAAUGGAAGAGAGGAUGAAAAGCCCUUUUGGAUCAUCCUUCCGAACAUUUAAUGCAACUGACUACAAACCUAUAGCAACCAUCGACGUGAAGCGGAACAUCUUUGACCUGUGCACAGACACCAAGGACUGCUACCUGGCUGUCAUCGAGAACCAAAGCAGCAUGGAUGCUCUCAACAUGGACACGGUGUGCAGGCUGUAUGAAGUGGGCAGGCAGCGCCUGGCAGAGGACGAGGACGAAGAAGAGGACCAGGAGGAGGAGGAGCAGGAGGAGGAAGACGACGAUGAAGAUGACGAUGACACCGAUGAUCUCGAUGACCUUGACACUGACCAAUUGCUGGAGGCGGAGUUGGAGGAGGAUGACAACAAUGAGAACGCAGGGGAGGAUGGGGACAAUGACUUCUCUCCCUCUGACGAGGAGCUGGCCAACCUUCUGGAGGAGGGAGAGGACGGGGAGGAUGAAGACUCCGAUGCAGACGAGGAAGUGGAACUGAUCCUGGGGGACACCGACAGCUCGGACAACUCUGACCUGGAAGAUGACAUCAUCUUAUCUCUGAACGAGUGAGGAGCAUCACCACGUGGAAGUCUUGGCAGCUCUAGCCAUGCAGGAGAGAAGCCGCCUUCCGAGAGGCAGUCGGCACGGUGGUACGUAGCUCAGAGAAGAGGGGACACAUUUGGUUUGAAGUAAACAAGCAAGACAGACAGCUAAACUCACCAGGGGCUGGUGACGCCCUGCUGGGCUCGGAGCACCACAAGCUGUCACACACCGAAGCGCGCCUGUGUCGCUCAGGUACCUCUUGGUCCUCUAGAGAGCAGAGGUCUCGGCUCCUAAGUUGCGUCAUGCCUCAGCUUAAAUAGGUCGCUAACACCUAACCAGUAGAUAGUUUGCUGGUGCUGAAUGGAUUAGAAGAAAACGGGUUAAAAGUAAAGAAAUAGUAAAAGCACUAUAUUCUUCUAGUCAUUAUCGGAGCCACUGUCUCCCUGACUGUGGCAGGAGCUCCUGGGAGCACCCGGGCUCUCUCGGGGGAGAGGGGCCUCCGGCAGGAAAGCCAAAUUCUGGUUGCCUUGACAACACACCCGCAGGGGAGCGCCCUGAGAGGCCACGGAAGCAUCAGCCCUCGUCCUCAUGCCACCAGGGCGCAGGCGAGUCACUUAGGAGGAGCCCUCAUGUUGAUUUUGCCUUUAACAACCUAGUGGACCCAGGGGAGGCGCUGGCGCCCGCAGUGGCGGCGUCUCCUCUCGGGCCUUGCCCACCUGAGCUGCCGAGGCCCCUCGGACAGGUCCCGGCACCUGUUGUGUCUUAAGUCGAAGGAAGCGGUUGAGAAGAGGGUGUGAGGGGCAGGAGGGAGUCGCACACAGGCUGUGGCUCAUCACCAAAACUCGAGUUCUUUUGGGGACCAGAGAACACGUAUGUAGCCCUCAAGGGGGACAAGGCGAGGCUGCAGUGUCUCCAGCCAGGUUUCCCAGGCUUCUGUUCGGGGAGCCGGAGGCGGUGUUCUGGGUCCCGAGCGCCCACUCGGCAGGCACCCCGCGAGGCCGCUCUGGCCUGUGGCCGGCAUUGGUGAGACCUGCAGGAAGCCUGCCGGGCGGUGGGCCAGCCCUCCCCUCGCUCCACACCACAGGCCAAUAAACUGGUUCCCACUUC
RNA transcript from Eptesicus fuscus (big brown bat), 5628 nucleotides. It is a transcript of the gene named DDB1 and CUL4 associated factor 1, with no coding region annotated. Lineage: Eukaryota; Metazoa; Chordata; Mammalia; Chiroptera; Vespertilionidae. The record is from RefSeq and is a predicted model, not a curated record. The transcript is spliced from 26 exons.